AUUGAACGCUGGCGGCAGGCCUAACACAUGCAAGUCGAACGGUAACAGGAAGAAGCUUGCUUCUUUGCUGACGAGUGGCGGACGGGUGAGUAAUGUCUGGGAAACUGCCUGAUGGAGGGGGAUAACUACUGGAAACGGUAGCUAAUACCGCAUAACGUCGCAAGACCAAAGAGGGGGACCUUCGGGCCUCUUGCCAUCGGAUGUGCCCAGAUGGGAUUAGCUAGUAGGUGUGGUAACGGCUCACCUAGGCGACGAUCCCUAGCUGGUCUGAGAGGAUGACCAGCCACACUGGAAGUGAGACACGGUACAGACUACGACGGGAGGCAGCAGUGGGGAAUAUUGCACAAUGGGCGAAAGCAUGAUGAAGCAAUGCCGCGUGUAUGAAGAAGGACUUCGGGUUGUAAAGUACUUUCAGCGGGGAGGAAGGGAGUAAAGUUAAUAACUUUGCUCAUUGACGUUACCAGCAGAAGAAGCACCGGCUAACUCCGUG
This 490-nucleotide ribosomal RNA is filed under the name uncultured bacterium. Its description in RNAcentral is "partial 16S ribosomal RNA". It matches the Rfam family "Bacterial small subunit ribosomal RNA", at positions 30 to 507 of the family's 1533-position model. The record is from RNAcentral.